Molecule: ribosomal RNA, 512 nt
Filed under: uncultured bacterium
Lineage: Bacteria
Description: partial 16S ribosomal RNA
Rfam family: Bacterial small subunit ribosomal RNA
Source: RNAcentral
GACGAACGCUGGCGGCGUGCCUAAUACAUGCAAGUCGAGCGAAUCAACAGGAGCUUGCUCCUGUUGGUUAGCGGCGGACGGGUGAGUAACACGUGGGCAACCUGCCUGUAAGACUGGGAUAACACCGGGAAACCGGUGCUAAUACCGGAUAAUCCUUUUCCUCCCAUGAGGAAAAGCUGAAAGCCGGUUUCGGCUGACACUUACAGAUGGGCCCGCGGCGCAUUAGCUAGUUGGUGAGGUAACGGCUCACCAAGGCGACGAUGCGUAGCCGACCUGAGAGGGUGAUCGGCCACACUGGGACUGAGACACGGCCCAGACUCCUACGGGAGGCAGCAGUAGGGAAUCUUCCACAAUGGACGAAAGUCUGAUGGAGCAACACCGCGUGAGCGAUGAAGGCCUUCGGGUCGUAAAGCUCUGUUGUUAGGGAAGAACAAGUACCGGAGUAACUGCCGGUACCUUGACGGUACCUAACCAGAAAGCCACGGCUAACUACGUGCCAGCCGCCGCGGUAA